AACGAACGCUGGCGGCAUGCCUAACACAUGCAAGUCGAACGAGACCUUCGGGUCUAGUGGCGCACGGGUGCGUAACGCGUGGGAACCUGCCCUUAGGUUCGGAAUAACUCCCCGAAAGGUGUGCUAAUACCGGAUAAUGUCUUCGGACCAAAGAUUUAUCGCCUUUGGAUGGGCCCGCGUUGGAUUAGCUAGUUGGUAGGGUAAAAGCCUACCAAGGCGACGAUCCAUAGCUGGUCUGAGAGGAUGAUCAGCCACACUGGGACUGAGACACGGCCCAGACUCCUACGGGAGGCAGCAGUGGGGAAUAUUGGGCAAUGGGCGAAAGCCUGAUCCAGCAAUGCCGCGUGAGUGAUGAGGGCCUUAGGGUUGUAAAGCUCUUUUACCCGGGAUGAUAAUGACAGUACCGGGAGAAUAAGCUCCGGCUAACUCCGUG
This 433-nucleotide ribosomal RNA is filed under the name uncultured bacterium. RNAcentral describes it as "partial 16S ribosomal RNA". It matches the Rfam family "Bacterial small subunit ribosomal RNA", at positions 29 to 507 of the family's 1533-position model. The record is from RNAcentral.